GACUAUGCUGUAUUUAUUAUUUACAGGGGUGACACCACCAGAUUCCUGUACACAAAGAUCAAAUGAAUAGCCACAGAGAAGUUACAGGACCUUCCCUGGAUGUCUAGACACCAGUCACUUUUUCAGUUCAGCACCCUCCUGUUCCCUCCUUCUGCUCACACAAAAGAAGCUCCAAGUUCAUGCCCUGGGAACAUGGUUCUUUGGGACAAUAACCUGCCAUCUCCUUGUUCAGCUGGCUUUCACAACAGAGUCGCUUCCCCCCACCCCCCAGCUCACCUCCUCUAGGCUUCCUGGCCUGUGUGCAGUAAGCACCUUGAGGUUGGUGACAAAGCGGCAAGUAUUUCUGGCAGUAUCGAAUGAGCCCAUAGGCCCAAGAGGGUGCGAAAGAUAUCAUCCUCAGAAGAUCUAGAGUUACUCCCAAAGAUCAAUAACCAGGGGCCAGGGUUUGGAGAAGAAGGGACAGUGUGACUCUGACCCUGAGGCUGGCCUUUGACCAGGAGCGAUAAAUGCCUUGCGAGUGUCACCUGUAGCGUCAGGUGGUCUUAUUUUAAGAGGUAACUGUUUAAUAGCUUCUUUGGAGUGGAAAGGCCCUUUGGUCGGUCAGAGGAUUCCUAGACUGAACUACGGGCUGGGGGUUUUCCAUUCAGAAGCCUGGGAGCUUGGGUCUGGAAGGCUAGGGUGCCUGGCUCCAGGCAGAAUCAUGUGCAGCUCGGGCUGAGCUGCCCUGUACUGGAAAGCCAGUUAGACCAAGCGCUCAACGCAAAGAGAGCAGAGCUCAGGACUGGGAGGAGCUUACCCACGGCCCUUGGAAACAGCAAGAAAGACAGGAAACUCAAAGCAGGGUUUGUGGGUACCAUGUCUGUGUUUCUCACCCCAAAAUGCUGGUGGAAGUGCACUCCAGAUCCCACUGCCACCACCAAAUCUGUUAAGAAACAAACUCCAGUGGAGUGCAUUUGAAAACCUCAUUAGCUUUCCUCAAGGAGUUAUGAAUGGGGGCAGCAUCCCAUCUAGCAGGUAGAAGGAGCUCUGAGGAGCUGUACCAAGUGGGAAGCUUUUACAGGCAGAGGCAGGGACAAAGAGGUCACACAGGAUUAUUGCAGGCAAGGUCACUUUCCUACGGAGGAAGGGCAGGGUCUCCCAUGAAGAUUACUUUCCCAGUGUUGAUCAGGAAAGUCCACUCAUUGGCUUAUGAUUCCACUUCCAGGGGCGCCUGGAUGACUCAGUUGGUUACGAGUCUGCCUUCGGCUCGGGUCGUGAUCCCGGGGUCCUGGGAUCGAGCCCCAUGUUGGGCGCCUUGCUUAAUGGAGAGUCUGCCUCUCCCUCUCCAUCUGCCUUUCCCCUCCCUUGCUCUCUCUCAAAUAAAUUAAUAAAAUCUUUAAAAAUAAAAUUCCAGGGGAUCCCUGGGUGGCUCAGCGGUUUGGCACCUGCCUUUGGCCCGAGGUGUGAUCCUGGAGUCCUAGGAUCAAGUCCCACGUCAGGCUCCCGGCAUGGAGCCUGCUUCUCCCUCUGCCUGUGUCUCUGCACGCCCCCCCGCCGCCCUCUAUCAUGAAUAAAUAAAAUCUUAAAAAAAAAAAAAGACCACUAUGUACCAAACUUCAUGAGCCUUGUGGACAUUAAAAAAUAAAAAAAAAUUCCACUUCCAGGAGAGGCUGAAUCUGCAAGUAGUUUAGGUACUGAGUCCUCAUUUGCUAUCUUGGGCCUUCACACAAGUAACUCCAUUUUGGGCCUGUUUUCCUUUUUUUUUUUUAAACACAAUAAACCCAUUUCAAAUUCUAAAUUCUAAAACACUUUAUCAUUAAGCAGCAAUGGCUGUGGAGGGACAAAGCACCCACCUCCUACCAUGGGCUUCAGUUUCUCUGCUCGGAGGGUGUCCCGACAAGGUGCCUCUGAGAGCCACAUCUGUGUCCUUCUGGCCUAGGGCUGAGAAAGCCCUCAGAGAGCUACAUCUGUGAGGGCAACUGGCAGUGAAGCAGCUUUUUUAAAAAAAUAUUUUAUUCAUUUAUUCAUGAGAGACACACACACACACACACACACACACACAGAGGCAGAGACACAGGCAGAGGGAGAAGCAGGCCCCAUGCAGGGAGCCCCAUGUGGGACUUGAUCCCAGGUCUCCAGGAUCACGCCCUGGGCCAAAGGCGGCGCUAAACCGCUGAGCCACCUGGGCUGCCCAGUGAAGCAGUUUUUUAACCAAUUCAUGGCCCUGUCAGGAGAGCAAUGCCUCUGUCAUUUCAAAAUGCCCUUCAGAAUGCUCCAGGAACCUACAAACCUCAAACCCGGAGGGUGGGGGCCGCUGCCAACACUCUGAGCCUUUAUAGCAAAUGGGAGGUGGUUUGCGGAAGGCGCCUUCCUGGGCUUUGCCAGGGCUCAGGCAAUGCCAGGCUCAUUUUUCUGGAGUGACAGAGGCCCAAGGAAAAGUUCCUGUCGACCAAAGCUGCCUUCUGGGGCCCUUUUCAGACCCACAGACUGACGUCAAUCUAACCACAGAGCCAGUACCUCUGCCCCUGCCCAGGAUGACAGGAAGUCACUGGUGUCCUGUGUGCCGGGGUCACCAUGUGGCCCUUUCCUGAGGCUGCGCUCUGAGCAAGCUCUGGCUCUCCAGGCUGUGGAGAGGCUGACAUAAGAAUGCAGACAAAGCACACAGCACAUGAUGAGUGUCAUUUAUGAAUACUUGUGGAAUCGCUCUUCAGAUUUACCUACUUGUCCGAAAGAGAUGCUUUGUCAAGCCUGAGGACUGUCACACUGACUUUGUAUCGGCUCCUUUAAAGCCAUUCCACCUCUUGGUUACAAGAGACAUCUCACAUGGAGUUGUAAGCUACUGGAGGAGCCUGGUGAAUCUGGAGGAGACGCAGAGGGCUUGCCGGGGCUGCUGUUUGGCUGGCACAUGGUCACCACGGGCCCAGUAUGCAGGAGCCUGGCCGCUGUCCUCUCACCUAACUCCAUCUUGCAAGGUCUGAGGUUGAGGAUCUUGGAACCUGCCAGGCCUUUUCACAUUGCCUGUAAUGGAUGGCCCGAAAGGUACUGUCUGAAAGGUGGACAUGUAAGGUGAGCAUUAGGGCUUGAGAGAGUCUCUUGAUGCUCUUCCCUUCUGCUUUCCAAGGACCUAGAUUCAUCAAAAGGUGGGCUUCCCUCAUGGGGACAGCAUGGCUGAUGGAUUUCUAGCUUCUCAUCCAUAGGCUGGUUCUGGAUAGCCCUCUGAAACAGUUUCCUGGAAGCCUCAGCAGGCUUAUGCACACAACCCUUUCGCAAACAUCAGGUUUUUUUUAAAGCAGUAUCUGAUCUACGAACCGGGAUCCAACAACGGUAUAUGAAAAUGUCGUUAGAGACAACGGAGGAAGCUCCAACCCACCUGCUAUAGCUCUUGGUCAGGACCCACUGACCUUCGUUUCCCAUGAAGUUCCCAGUGAACCCAGUUACCUGGUUUCCUAGGUGCCAACAGACAUGUAAACCAGUAGAUGAACAGACCCUGCUAGCUUUUAAUAAACAGUGAUGACAAGACCUAAGAAACUAUAAUAAACAAUCCAGAUCAUCUAUCAUCGAGACAGCCGAGUCAAGAAAGGAAUUUUAGACUAGCUCUUUGGCCUGUUUGGUUUCAAUUCUGUGACCCCAGGCUGGCUUAAUAAUUAGCAACCUUUGGCGUAUGCCUCAGUCACUCUCGGCUUCAACUUUUUUCUCCCCAAAAUGGCUUGCUGUGUAGAUCGGGAAAAUAAUGGGGACAGCAGCCCCUAAGUACUGAAUGAGCAUGCAGCUGGAAUGAUGACUUGUGUGUCUGUAUAAAAAGUCAUUUAGCACAAGUUAGCUAAAGUUCUGCCAUACGAGAGCAGGCAGGGAUAACAAACAUCUUACAGAGAAUUUUGUUUGGAUUACUAGCAUGUCAACAGUUGUUGGGGAGAUAGAUGAUUAACUAUUCCUUUCCCCUUUAAAGUUUUCUAUUUCCCAUAAUGAUCAUAUUUUAGUUUCCUCCGUCUUCCUUUUCUUCCUUGUUAUCCUAGAUGCCUGGCACGUGCUAGCCCGAGACGCAGGGAUUGAAUGGAUGUGGGAACUGGCACAGAACCGUAGACUCUCUUACAGAACAGUGUUUUUGGCUGUGAUUCCCCUCUGUUUGGGGAAACCACAGAAGCGUAAAUGAAGUUCUUUAGCCGUCCACUUACAGCAGUUACACAUUUGAUGUUUAGCUACCAGGGGAGGAAGUGCUCAGUCAUUCAGAUACCAGGACUCAGGGGCUUCGGACCCGGAGAUCUGUGCGGCCUGCGCGGCACAGCUGGAAGGCCCAGGCUGGAAACAGGCAGACAAGGGCCUUCUCUGGCAAGCUCUGUUCUUUCACCUUACCCCAUCUCACCAGUGUGAGGCUCUGGCAAAGCACAGCAACUCAUUUAGAAGUUCCAUUUCU
RNAcentral lists this long non-coding RNA (4390 nucleotides) under Canis lupus familiaris (dog). Its description in RNAcentral is "lncRNA (ENSCAFG00845028610.1)". Lineage: Eukaryota; Metazoa; Chordata; Mammalia; Carnivora; Canidae. The record is from RNAcentral.